This 253-nucleotide ribosomal RNA is filed under the name uncultured bacterium. RNAcentral's name for it is "partial 16S ribosomal RNA". It matches the Rfam family "Bacterial small subunit ribosomal RNA", at positions 524 to 776 of the family's 1533-position model. The record is from RNAcentral.
UACGCAGGUGGCGAGCGUUGUCCGGAUUUAUUGGGCGUAAAGCGCCCGCAGGCGGCCUGAUAAGUUUCAGGUGAAAUCUCCCGGCUCAACUGGGAGGGGUCCUGGAAAACUGUCAGGCUUGAGGCAGGGAGAGGGAUGUGGAAUUCCCGGUGUAGUGGUGAAAUGCGUAGAUAUCGGGAGGAACACCAGUGGCGAAGGCGACAUCCUGGCCCUGUCCUGACGCUCAGGGGCGAAAGCGUGGGGAGCAAACCGG